AAAGGAAUAGACGGGGGCCCGCACAAGCGGUGGAGCAUGUGGUUUAAUUCGAUGCAACGCGAAGAACCUUACCGGGGCUUGAACUGCAGUGGACAUCCCAUGAAAGUGGGCUUCCUUCGGGACCGCUGUAGAGGUGCUGCAUGGUUGUCGUCAGCUCGUGUCGUGAGAUGUUGGGUUAAGUCCCGCAACGAGCGCAACCCCUGUCCUUAGUUGCCAACAGCUCGGCUGGGAACUCUAAGGAGACUGCCGACCCUAAGUCGGAGGAAGGUGGGGACGACGUCAAAUCCUCAUGGCCCUUACGUCCCGGGCUACACACGUGCUACAAUGGCCGGUACAAAGGGUUGCAAGACCGCAAGGUGGAGCUAAUCCCAAAAAACCGGUCUCAGUUCAGAUCGAAGUCUGCAACUCGACUUCGUGAAGGCGGAAUCGCUAGUAAUCGCGGAUCAGAAUGCCGCGGUGAAUACGUUCCCGGGCCUUGUACACACCGCCCGU
This 492-nucleotide ribosomal RNA is filed under the name uncultured bacterium. RNAcentral describes it as "bacterial SSU rRNA". It matches the Rfam family "Bacterial small subunit ribosomal RNA", at positions 903 to 1397 of the family's 1533-position model. The record is from RNAcentral.